CACGUAGGGCGCAAGCGUUGUCCGGAAUUAUUGGGCGUAAAGAGCUCGUAGGCGGUCUGUUACGUCUGCUGUGAAAACUCGGGGCUUAACCCCGAGCCUGCAGUGGAUACGGGCAGACUAGAGGUAGGUAGGGGAGAAUGGAAUUCCCGGUGUAGCGGUGAAAUGCGCAGAUAUCGUAAGGAAGACCAGUGGCGAAGGCGGGUCUCUGGACAGUUCCUGACGCUGAGGCACGAAGGCCAGGGGAGCAAACGGG
RNAcentral lists this ribosomal RNA (253 nucleotides) under uncultured bacterium. RNAcentral describes it as "partial 16S ribosomal RNA". It matches the Rfam family "Bacterial small subunit ribosomal RNA", at positions 524 to 776 of the family's 1533-position model. The record is from RNAcentral.